Molecule: ribosomal RNA, 262 nt
Filed under: uncultured bacterium
Lineage: Bacteria
Description: partial 16S ribosomal RNA
Rfam family: Bacterial small subunit ribosomal RNA
Source: RNAcentral
UUAGUGGCGGACGGGUGAGUAACGCGUGGAAAACCUGCCGUAUACUGGGGGAUAACACUUAGAAAUAGGUGCUAAUACCGCAUAAGCGCACAGCUUCGCAUGAAGCGGUGUGAAAAACUCNGGUGGUAUACGAUGGUUCCGCGUCUGAUUAGCUAGUUGGUGGGGUAAUGGCCUACCAAGGCAACGAUCAGUAGCCGGCCUGAGAGGGUGAACGGCCACAUUGGGACUGAGACACGGCCCAAACUCCUACGGGAGGCAGCAG